Molecule: non-coding RNA, 443 nt
Organism: Thamnophis sirtalis
Lineage: Eukaryota; Metazoa; Chordata; Lepidosauria; Squamata; Natricidae
Source: RefSeq, a predicted model, not a curated record
GAUGCAAGGCAGUUUCCAGUCACUGUUCAUUUCAACAAAAGGACCCCAUUGGAAGAUUACAGCGGGGAAUGUUUCCGGAAAGUCUGCAAAAUUCACCGAAUGCUUCCUCCAGGGGGCAUUUUGGUGUUCUUAACCGGACAGGCCGAAGUCCAUUCUCUAUGUCGGAGGCUGAGGAAGUCCUUCCCUUUUUGCAAAAAUGCAACCCCGGGCUCUGAAGAUGAGGACAAUUCUGUAGAAGCCAUCAGAAGGUUUAAGAAAUCCAGACAGAAAAAGAAGCAUGCUCUUCAAGUAAGCUAAAUUUUCCUGCACUGUCACAAAUGCAGGCUGGUUGCCAAGAGCCCAAAUUUUGCUCACGUGACCAUUUUGUAUGCUGCAAAAGUUACAGGCGCAAGUUGUAAGUCACUUUUUUCACUGCUACUGUAACUUUGGCCAUUAAAUAAAUG